This is a long non-coding RNA of Pipistrellus kuhlii (Kuhl's pipistrelle), 430 nucleotides long. RefSeq lists it as uncharacterized. The record is from RefSeq and is a predicted model, not a curated record. The transcript is spliced from 3 exons. Lineage: Eukaryota; Metazoa; Chordata; Mammalia; Chiroptera; Vespertilionidae.
GGGAAGCAGUCAUGAAUGAAUCUGGCUUUACGUUUGGUGACUAGGAAAAUGACACCAUCAACAGGCAAGAUGGUACUUUUCUAGGAAAGAGGGAUGCUGCCGAUAGUGUAGGAUACAUUGAGUCUGAGGUGAAAGCUGGAGAUGCAGUUUAAAUGUUUCACAGAGUGACCCAAGUGAAAGCAACUCCAUGGAAUCUGAUGAGGCAUUGAGUGACUAGAAGCUAAGAUUUUAGGCUGGACAACUGGCACUACUGGCUCCUUCUUCUUGUAGGAACUAUGGUAUUCCUGUGGCCUACACCAAAAGCAUCACCCAAAGGAAAGCUUCUUUACUUGAUAAAAUGGGUCUGAUUCCCUCCUUCUAAGUUCUCCACUGUCUCUGAAGUGACACAUGGUCUUUCAUACAAAUAAGAGGGAAACUAUGCAGAGCUUUC